RNAcentral lists this unclassified non-coding RNA (3550 nucleotides) under Hevea brasiliensis (rubber tree). The record is from RNAcentral. Lineage: Eukaryota; Viridiplantae; Streptophyta; Magnoliopsida; Malpighiales; Euphorbiaceae.
AAAGUGUAGCAAGAAAGGCCCAGCACUGAAGAACAAGAAACAGCAAAAUCACCAAACCAAAACGAAACCCAUCAAAAUCCUCUGUCGCGCACAGGUAAGGUGGUUGAGACCUCCGCCCUCUUUCGAUGUUUCCAAGAUUUCUCUGCUAAUCAAAACACAAAACCCCCUUAAAUCCCAUCACCUGUCUCUCCUUCAACUUUCAAGUAACAACCUCUCUGUCUCUCUCUCUCUCAUUGCUGCUUCCAAUUCCCAGAUGGCUCAGCUUCUCAAGACCACCUUCCUUCCAUCCUCUCUUCCCCGGGCAUCCACUGUUCGCUCUCCCUCCGUACACAUUUCCACUCACCGUUCCAGGACAACCCAGGUGGAGGCCAAGAUCCGAGAGAUCUUCAUGCCGGCAUUGAGCUCCACCAUGACUGAGGGAAAGAUUGUUUCUUGGGUGAAAUCAGAGGGAGAUAAGCUUUCUAAGGGUGAAAGUGUUGUUGUUGUUGAGUCUGAUAAGGCUGACAUGGAUGUUGAGACUUUCUAUGAUGGUUACUUGGCUGCUAUUAUGGUUGAAGAAGGCGGAGUUGCUGCCGUGGGUUCUGCUAUUGCUUUAUUGGCUGAGACUGAGGAGGAAAUUGCGGAGGCCAGGUCCAAAGCCUCGUCGUCGUCAUCAUCAGCUGCUCAGCCAGCAUCUACUAGUAGUAGUGCUCCGGAACCGUCGCAGACUGAGAAAAUUGCGGAGCCUGCGGGACCUGCAAUUUCAAAGGCGGCAGCAAUUGUGGGAUCUGCUGUGCACCCGGCAUCAGAGGGAGGGAAAAGAGUAGUGGCUUCGCCUUAUGCGAAGAAGCUUGCCAAGGAGUUAAAGGUGGAGCUGGAGAGAGUAGUGGGUAGUGGACCUAUGGGUAGAAUUGUGGCUAAGGAUGUUGAGGCUGCUGCCUCCGCCGCUGAUGCCGCUGCUAGCUUGGCUCCUAAGGUAGGAACCACCGUAAAUCCGCCGUCUGGGAUUGAGUUGGGGACGGUGGUGCCAUUUACAACAAUGCAGGGGGCAGUUAGUAGGAAUAUGGUGGAGAGUUUGGCAGUUCCUACUUUUAGAGUUGGCUACACUAUUACUACCAAUGCACUUGAUGCUCUUUACAAGAAGAUCAAGUCUAAGGGAGUGACCAUGACAGCCUUGCUCGCAAAGGCUACAGCCCUUGCGUUGGUUAAGCAUCCUGUAAUAAAUUCCAGUUGUAGAGAUGGUAAAAGCUUUACGUAUAAUAGUAGCAUCAACAUUGCAGUUGCUGUGGCCAUGGAUGGUGGAUUGCUCACGCCAGUGCUUCAAGAUGCUGAUAAGGUUGACAUUUAUUCACUGUCAAGAAAAUGGAAAGAGUUAGUUGAUAAGGCCCGGGCCAAGCAGCUGCAACCUCAUGAAUACAAUACAGGUAAUGUCAUGUAACGCAUGCUAUUUUACUAAAUAUGCAAGAUAUAUUAUUUUACAUUUCCCAAACAAAUCUAAUUCUGAAUAUGGUAUUUGUUCUUGUAUGGAAGAUAUUCAAACUCUAUCUAUGCUUUCUUUCUUCUUGCAAAUUUAUGAUUUUCUGCAUCUUGGAAUCUCCCAUUUUGAUGAGGAUUGUACAUUAGGAUAUUAUACAUAGUCCCUAUGCUCUGUCCAUGUUUAUGAAUUCAUUUCAUCCCAAAGCACAGAUGCCAAACCAAGCUAGGCACUGUAGGUUUUGUAUUAUUGAUUCUUAAGCCUAGACUCUUGUCUUGCAUUGCAAAUGUCAUGUGGUAUAUGAGUAACUAUUGGCAAUUUCAUGAAUAUGGUAAGGCUCAGGUCCCAUUGGACAGCUUGGCAUGUUUAUCAUACUAGCUUGGCAUGUAAUGUUUAUCGUACUUGCAGAUUCUAGAUUUAUCUUUGCCUCACUCCAAUCCUCUAAGUCACUCUAUCUGUAUAACUUAAAAUUCAAAAGGAUGGAAGAGCAUUGGGAUCUGCAAGGUCAACAUGAAGCAUAGCUGUGAUGGCCAUUUGGUUUUAAAAAUUUAAUGGAGGAUCAUGGUGCAGUCAAGCAACAAACUUUUUGCAUUAUUAUGAUCGUAGGUUCUUCAUUGGGUUUUCAUACUGAGAUUGAUUUUUUUAUUUUCCACAGCUGUGAAUUUUGAGGUCCGUUAUGGUUUCACAGUUGUCAUUCGGUUAUAGUUUCACAGUUGUCAUAGUGCAUUCAUCUUGCAAUUCUGUUUCACCCUUAGACAUGGCCUCAUUGAGAUGGGCUGCUAGUUUUCUAAGAUUUUGGUGUCCUCAAACUCAAGUUCUGAUUUGCAGACCUUGUGCAGGUUUCCUUCUCUAGUAUUAACAAACUGCUAGAUUCAUUUAUUCAUGAGAAUUUAGGUAUAUGAUUUCCUGCUAUGCUAUCAGAUUCAUGGCAAUGUUAUUUGCCAUUGCAAGUGAAGAUGGAUGAGUGUCUGGAGAUUUGAAUGCUAUUGUUAGUCUUAUGGCUGCACAAUUCUUCCUGAAUCUUUGCUUGUGAUGACUUGUUUUGUUGGAUGGCUGAUAGGAUCUACUGCAACUUGUAAUAAUUUAUUGGCGGCAUUAUCCAUUGCUAACUGGUCCUUGAGAUGUAUGAUUUCAGUGUCAUGUCCUCGACAAUUCAAAGAUAUAACUUUUUUUUUCUCUGAAAUUCAUGGACUUUGCUGUUCUUUGGUUCUGGUUCAAUAUUCAAGAAUAAACUGGUUAAGUGUAUACUUAAUGGCACAUGCAUAGCAUUUUCUCCUUAUGCAUAUUUCCCCUUUUUUUCCCCUGGCAGGUACUUUCACGCUUUCUAACCUUGGAAUGUUUGGUGUGGAUCGGUUUGAUGCCAUUCUGCCUCCUGGAACUUUUUUAUUUAUUUGGAUUGAUGCGGGGAGCAAUCAUGGCUGUUGGUGCAUCUCAGCCAUCUGUUGUGGCCACCAAGGAUGGUUGUAUCGGCAUGAAGAACCAGAUGCAGGUAAAUGUUACAGCAGAUCAUCGAGUAAUCUAUGGUGCUGAUCUGGCUUCCUUCUUGCAAACCUUGGCAAAGAUUAUUGAGGAGCCCAAAGAUCUUACUUUCUAGUCCACACCCAUCAGCCGUCACUAAACGAGGCCUUUUCUUUACAUCUGUCACAUUUCCCUGACCUUUUUGUAUGUUCUCAAUUCUCAUUUCCUUCAUCAAUCCUUGAUAUUUACUGAGGAGACUCAUGCUGAAAACUGCAGGAGCUAAAUCACUCUGUUCAAAUUUCUACAUGGAACAGGAGCAGAGUUUUGAAGGGCAAUGUUUAUUUGUGUUUCAAACUUAACAAUUUUUUGUACUUCAAUGAUGCCAUAAAAAUGGCCCUUUCAAUGUCUUCUUGGUGAUCAUUUUUGGUCGUUAAUUAUCGUCUUAUUAAUCAUAUUGUCAUCAUCAGAUAUGCAAAGCACGAAUUUGAUCUUCAAGGUUUUAGCUCUACUGCUCAUGAAAUUGAAUUGUUAAACUGAAUGAUGAUUUUGUUUGAGUGAUAUGACUAACUGAUUACUGAAAAGAAGCAUUCAGUAUCAGUUCAAAACGUCUAAUGAAUUUUUCUGCAUCUCUACUGCUUU